RNAcentral lists this ribosomal RNA (564 nucleotides) under uncultured Glomeromycotina. RNAcentral describes it as "SSU rRNA". It matches the Rfam family "Eukaryotic small subunit ribosomal RNA", at positions 548 to 1114 of the family's 1831-position model. Lineage: Eukaryota; Fungi; Glomeromycota. The record is from RNAcentral.
UUGGAGGGCAAGUCUGGUGCCAGCAGCCGCGGUAAUUCCAGCUCCAAUAGCAUAUAUUAAAGUUGCUGCAGUUAAAAAGCUCGUAGUUGAAUUUCGGGACCAUCAUGUUGGUCGUGCCUCGGUACGUACUGGCAUUGUUGGUUUCUCCCUUCUGACGAACCAUGAUGUCAUUUAUUUGGUGUUGUGGGAAAUCAGGACUGUUACUUUGAAAAAACUAGAGUGUUUAAAGCAGGCUCACGCUUGAAUACAUUAGCAUGGAAUAAUGAAAUAGGACGUUUGAUUCUAUUUUGUUGGUUUCUAGGAUCGAUGUAAUGAUUAAUAGGGAUAGUUGGGGGCAUUAGUAUUCAAUUGUCAGAGGUGAAAUUCUUGGAUUUAUUGAAGACUAACUACUGCGAAAGCAUUUGCCAAGGAUGUUUUCAUUAAUCAAGAACGAAAGUUAGGGGAUCGAAGACGAUCAGAUACCGUCGUAGUCUUAACCAUAAACUAUGCCGACUAGGGAUCGGAUGAUGUUAAUUUUUUAAUGGCUCAUUCGGCGCCUUACGGGAAACCAAAGUGUUUGGGUUC